Gadus morhua (Atlantic cod) is the source of this 2331-nucleotide long non-coding RNA. NCBI's taxonomy places the organism in Eukaryota, Metazoa, Chordata, Actinopteri, Gadiformes, Gadidae. The record is from Ensembl.
AUGGAAAUGGAUGCAUUUAAUUUUCUUUGUGCCCACGUCAUCCGUUAUUGGCGCAGACAGAAAAUUGAUACAUUUGCUUCAGAAAACUUUGUUUGUGUGUGUGUAUAUGCCAACUCGAGUUUGCCUGUCCACCAACCGAGUUCAUUUGUAACGAGUAGUACUCGAGUAAUCGAUUCCUCACGCCCAUCCCUAGUUUAUGACCUUUAUCCAUCGCAGCGUUUUCGUUUAUCCAGCGCAGAGUUUACAUGCAUUACAGCGCAGUGUUUACAUCGAGUGCCUCCAACAUGGCCGCGCAUCCGGGUUACUGCCCAAGACGUGACGUCGGUGAAAACCCUCUAUUAUGACAAGGCUCAUAAUAGAGUUGUCAUGGUGGCGGCGCCGGUUAAGGCGAGCGAGCGACGGACUCCUCAACAACAUAGCAGUAUUUUACUUAUUUUAGUGUUUUUAUGCGUGAUUUUACCCUGUAAAGUUGCGGGCUGCAUUAUAUAUGACCGAGAGACACUGUUGAACAUAAGAGAUUCGGGAAUUAUUCACGGUCAACCGGAGUUUUUCUACUGGGAACCCCAGCUGGCAAACGUAAACAAAUGCCUAACAACGGCCCUACUACCGCGUCGGAGACGCCGGAGACGUGGGCGACGGGCUGGCCUGCUCGUCCGACUCAGACGGCGAGAAGGCAAAACACCUCUCCCCAGCAUUCUGCUAGCCAACGUGCAAUCCAUAGAAAACAAACUGGACGAGUUGAGAGCAAGGAUUACCUUCCAACAGGAAACAAGGGACUGCCAUAUCAUCUGUCUAACAGAGACGUGGCUGGGUGAAAAUAUCGCGGACUACGAAAUCUCUCCCAUGGGCUUCUCUGUACAUCGUGCGGACAGGUCAAGAGAACUUUCGGGGAAAAGUAAAGGCGGAGGUGUAUGCUUCAUGGUGAACAAAGCCUGGUGUAAACCGGUAAGUGUUCACUCACUCAAGUCAUUCUGCUCCCCGGACCUCGAAUACCUAGUCCUGCUCUGCCGCCCACACUGGCUUCCGAGAGACUUUACUGCUGUCAUAUGCAUAGCAGUUUAUAUUCCACCACAAGCUGACACAAACGUCGCACUCAAGGAACUGUACGUAACCAUCAGCAAAAUAGAAAACAGUCACCCAGAGGCCGCUCUAAUAGUGGUUGGAGACUUUAACCGAGCGUCGCUGAAGAAAGUUUUGCCAAAAUUCUAUCAACACAUAACUGUAAAUACGAGAGGCGGAAGAUGCUUGGAUCACGCCUACACUCAAUUCCGCAAUGCAUACAAACCCCUCCUCCGCCCCCCGUUCGGCAAAUCAGACCACUCUUCCAUUCUCCUUGUGCCCGCCUACAAGCACAGGCUGAAAACGUCUCCACCAAUCACGCGCACAUGUCGAUGCUGGUCUGACGAAUCAGACGCUAUCCUCCAGGACUGCUUUGAUUCCAUGACUGAGUUCGCGGAGAACAGUGGUGACGUCAACGAGAUCGCGGAAGGAGCGCUGGGUCUCAUUGGAAAGGUGAUAGAAGAAGUAGUGCCCACAAAAACAGUCCGUGUAUAUCCAAACAGGAAACCAUGGAUUAAUUUUGAUGUUAAUACAGCACUUACUAUUAGGAAAACAGCAUUCAGAACGGGAGAUACAACUGAAAUUAAAGCUGCCCGGUAUAACCUAAGAAAAGUGAUCAAAGCAGCAAAGAGGGAUUAUGGCAAAAAAAUAGAGGCACAGCUGAGCAGCAAUGACCCACGCAGAAUGUGGAAGGGACUACACACCAUCACUGAUUUCAAAGAGACCUCUAGCUGCACAGCUGAUACUUCUGUCUCUUUACCUGACGAGCUGAACAGUUUCUACGCCCGCUUUGAAGUGAGCCAAACCAGUCUCCUAGAGAGGACCUACUCAGAGGACGCAGAUAAUACAGCCAGCGCUCUUGUCAUCACAGAAGAGGAUGUACGUGUGGUGUUCAAACGCAUCAACAUCCGAAAAGCGGCCGGGUCAGAUGGGUUACCUGGCCGGGUGUUCAAAGUAUGUGCGGACCAGCUGGCUGGUGUAUUCACAAACAUUUUCAACCUCUCCCUCUCCACGGGCAUAGUGCCAGCCUGCUUCAAGUCAUCAGUAAUCAUUCCUGUACAAAAGAAGAGCAAGGUAACAUGCCCAAACGACUGGCGCCCUGUUGCUCUCACCCCCAUAGUGAGCAAAUGCUUUGAAAAGCUCAUCAAGGUGCUGAUCUGCAGAAUGCUGCCACCAGCCCUGGACCCCCACCAAUUUGCCUAUCGGAAGAACAGAUUGACAGAUGACGCCAUUGCCACAGCACUCCACUUAGCCCUCGCCCACCUUGACAAG